Molecule: long non-coding RNA, 466 nt
Organism: Acromyrmex echinatior (Panamanian leafcutter ant)
Lineage: Eukaryota; Metazoa; Arthropoda; Insecta; Hymenoptera; Formicidae
Source: RefSeq, a predicted model, not a curated record
UCAAUUCGCAAAGUUGCACAACAACACGACAUCGACUCUAUGUCAGUUCAUAAAAUUCUAAAAAAGGAGAAAUUUCAUCCAUAUAAGAUCCAUCUGGUGCAGGAACUAUGUGAAGAUGAUUUUGAUCGUCGCAUUGAAUUUUGCGAAAAUAUUGGAGCGAUGAAAAUCCUCAUUGGAUGUACGAGGCACAUACUCAGAAUCAGCAAAAAGCAACGUAUGGGCUGGAAUUUUAAAUGAAGCCAUUAUUGGGCCUUUCUUUAUUGAAGCAAGAUGGGGCGCCAUUUCACUACGAUUUACGAGUACGCCAAUAUCUGAAUGAAGUUUUUCCGAAUGGAUAGGAAGAAGGGGUUACAUUGAAUGGCUAGCACGGUCGCCUGAUCUAAUUCACUUGAUUUUUUGUGGGGAUAUUUAAAGGGAAAAAUUUAUAAUACUAAAUCUCGAAAUUUUAAUGAUUUACGUCAACGAA